RNAcentral lists this long non-coding RNA (910 nucleotides) under Chloebia gouldiae (Gouldian finch). Its description in RNAcentral is "Erythrura gouldiae (Gouldian finch) lncRNA (ENSEGOG00005003265.1)". The record is from RNAcentral. Lineage: Eukaryota; Metazoa; Chordata; Aves; Passeriformes; Passeridae.
CGGGGCGCCGGAGAAUAAAGCCCCGAGGGCCGGAGCCCGGCGCCCCCCCGCUGUCCCUGGAGCCCCCCCCGGGCCGGGCCCGCUGGGCGGGUCCCCCCACACCGGUCCAAUGCCCGACACCGCCGGGACUCCGGCUUUCCCUACAUCACUCUGGGGGUUCCCGGAGGGGAUCGGGGCAAGUCCUGCGAGUCCGAGAUCAGAAAUAGAACCCGAGGUUUUUUUCUGGCACCAAACUCAGCAGCGCCGUGGCGGAGCCCGGGAAACAGCGGGGCCGGGCCGGGGGCACCGGGAGUGGCUGCGCCGGGCUCGGAGCAAAGAAUAUCCCAGACUGCCUCCUCACCCUCGUGGACAGCAGGAGUGUCUUCCAUAGCUCCUGUUUAGGAAUGGCAGUGGCUGUGGGGAGCUCUGGCAGGAGCAGCUGGAGACCAGCAGAGAAACAUUUAAACAAGAGGUGCCAAAAAGAAUUUGAGCUUCUGCACAAUGAAAUCUGCAGGAAUCCAACUUAAAAUCCCCCUGGAUUGUCACCAGUCCAACUUCCAUGGACUGGGCUCUGUGGCCAGGAGUGUCCAAUCCUGCUGGAAAUGCGCCGGACCAGGAUGUCAUUUUCACUUUAUACAGCACAGGAGCUUUUCCCUUGCCUAGAGGAGCAGCCAGUGCUUUCCUUAGACCACAGAUCCCCAGGAUGGACCACAGAGAAAAUAACAGGAAUGUGGAAAUCCCCCACACAGGGAGUUUGUGGUGGAUUACAUUUUGGAUUUAUAAUGUUAAAGGGAGGGUGUAGGGGGAGUUUUCUCUCUCUCCUGUUCAUUAUUGUUCUCACUGUUCUUGUUGUUCUCACUAUUAUGUGUUGUCAUUAAUAUUAAAUGACUGUAUUUGACUGGUUUCCAUUAUUAAAAGUGUUCUGAGCUGG